RNAcentral lists this ribosomal RNA (186 nucleotides) under uncultured Strombidinopsis. Its description in RNAcentral is "partial Eukaryotic large subunit ribosomal RNA". It matches the Rfam family "Eukaryotic large subunit ribosomal RNA", at positions 53 to 234 of the family's 3401-position model. Lineage: Eukaryota; Ciliophora; Spirotrichea; Choreotrichida. The record is from RNAcentral.
GAGGAAAAGAAACUAACUAGGAUUCCCUCAGUAGCGGCGAGCGAAGCGGGAAAAGCUCAAGAUUUUAAUCUGCGGACGACGUCCGUAGAACUGUAGUCUGGAGGGGCGCGAUCAGGAGGUACCUUUUAGCUUAAGUCUUCUGGAAUGAAGCACCAUAGAGGGUGAAAGUCCCGUGUCUGGCUAAAG